GCCAGAUCUCUUAGAACCAAAAAUAAAUCUGUUGUUGAGCUUUGUUAUGAGGUUUUCCCAUAUGAAUAAAUUAAUAACUAGAUUUUUUGCUAGGGUUAGGCAUCAGGUUCUCGAACUGGAAAAUAAAUCUCUGUGGCCCUUUUUAAUUCUAGACGUGGCCACUGAAACCCUGAGUAGAUUCCUUGCCUGGCUUAAUUCAAACAUGAUGUUGGUUCUUAGAACCAGAAAACAUCUCAAUGGCCCUUUUUAAUGCUAGAGGUGCCGGUGAUGGAUAAUAGAUUUUAUAGUUUUCUGCCUGGCGUAAAUGUAGCCCUGGCGAUGGUUCUUAGAACCAGGAAGAAAACCUCAGUGGCCCUUUUUAAUGCUAGGUGUGUGGCCAGUGCUUCAUAACAGAUUUUAGAGCAUUCUUGCCUGCUGUAAAUUUAGCCAUGGCAAGGGUUCUUAGAACCAAAAAAACAUUCUCAAUGGCCUUUUUAAUCCUAGGUUUGGCUGUUGAUGGAUUAUAUUAUAGUUUUCUGCCUGGCGUAAAUGUAGCCCUGGCAAUGGUUCUUAGAACCAGAAAGCAAACCUCAACGGCCCUUUUUAAUGCUAGGUGUGUCCGUUGAUCUAUAGAAGAUAUUGUAGUCUUUGAGGUUGAGGGGAGGAAUGAUGGCACACCUGCUGCCAAUCUUCCUCGAAAGAGACAACGCUUGCUGGGCACGACUGAGGAAGAAACAAAAACAAAAGAAGAAAGAAGAAAAAAGAGAGCAUGAAAACGUCUCCACCUCAAGCCCUGUUAACCUUUGGCUGUGAUGUGGCCUCCUACGCUGUGAGGCCUGUUCUCUGCACCACCUUAGAAGACAGAAGACUCAGUCAUCAGCCUGCAGCGUCGAUGGAAGAAGGAGGAAUGGACCUUUAGAUGAUAGAUUUUAUAUCAUUCUUGCCUGCUGUAAAUUUAGCCAUGGCAAUGGUUCUUAGAACCAAAAAAACCACCUCAACGGCCCUUUUUAAUCCUAUUCUUGGCUGUUGAUGGAUUAUAGAUUUUAUAGUUUUCUGCCUGGCAUAAAUUUAGCCAUGGCAAUGGUUCCUAGAACCAGGAAGAAAAUCUCAUUGGCCCUUUUAAAUGACCAGUAAGUGGCCAGUGCUUCGUAACAGAUUUUAGAGCAUUCUUGCCUGCUGUAAAUUUAGCCAUGGCAAGGGUUCUUAGAACCAAAAAAACAUUCUCAAUGACCUUUUAAAUCCUAGACUUGGCUGUUGAUGGAUUAUAGAUUUUAUAGUUUUCUGCCUGGCGUAAAUGUAGCCCUGGCGAUGGUUCUUAGAACCAGAAAUCAAACCUCAACGGCCCUUUUUAAUACUAGGUGUGUCCGUUGAGCUAUAGAAUAUUUUGUAGUCUUUGAGGUUGAGGGGAGGAACGAUGGCACACCUGCUGCCAAUCUUCCUCGAAAGAGACAACACUUGCUGGGCACAGCAGAGGAAGAAGGAAAAGAAGAAAGAAGAGUAUGAAAAUGUCUCCAGCUCAAGCCCUGUUAGCCUUCGGCUGUGAUGUGGCCUCCUACGCUGUGAGGCCUGUUCUCUGCACCACCUUAGAAGACAGAAGACACAGUCAUCAGCCUGCAGCGUCAAUGGAAGAAGGAGGAAUGGAAUGCAAUAAGGAUGGUUAUUAGAACCAAAAAACCCACCUCAAUGGCUCUUUUUAAUCCUAUUUUUGGCUGUUGAUGGAUUAUAGAUGAUAUAGUUUUCUGCCUGGCGUAAAUUUAGCCAUGGCAAUGGUUCUUAGAACCAGGAAGAAAACCUCAGUGGCCCUUUUAAAUGACCAGUGUGUGGCCAGUGCUUGGUAAGAGAUUUUAUAGCUUUCUGCCUGGUGUAAAUUUAGCCAUGGCAAAGGUUCUUAGAACCAAAAAACCCACCUCAAUGGCCUUUUUAAUCCUGGGCAUGGCUGUUGAUGGAUUAUAUUAUAGUUUUCUGCCUGGCGUAAAGUUAGCCCUGGCAAUGGUUCUUAGAAACUGAAAGAAAAUCUCAACGGCCCUUUUUAAUGCUAGGUGUGUCCGUUGAGCUACAGAAGAUUUUGUAGUCUUUAAGGUUGAGGGGAGGAAGAAUGGCACACCUGCUGCCAAUCUUCCUUGAAAGCGACAAGACUUGCUGGGCACAGCAGAGGACGAAGGAAAAGAAGAGAGCAAGAAAAUGUCUCCAGCUCAAGCCCUGUUAGCCUUCAGCUGUGAUGUUGCCUCCUACACUGUGAGGCCUGUUCUCUGCACCACCUUAGAAGACAGAAGACUCAGUCAUCAGCCUGCAGCGUCGAUGGAAGAAGGAGGAAUGGACCUUUAGAUGAUAGAUUUUAUACCAUUCUUGCCUGCUGUAAAUUUAGCCAUGGCAAUGGUUCUUAGAACCAAAAAAACAUUCUCAACGGCCCUUUUUAAUCCUAGGCGUGGCUGUUGAUGGACUAUAGAUUUUAUAGUUUUCUGCCUGGCGUAAAUUUAGCCAUGGCAAUGGUUCUUAGAACCAGGAAGAAAACAUCAUUGGCCCUUUUAAAUGACCAGUGUGUGGCCAGUGCUUCGUAACAGAUUUUAGAGCAUUCUUGCCUGCUGUAAAGUUAGCCAUGGCAAGGGUUCUUAGAACCAAAAAAACAUUCUCAAUGGCCUUUUUAAUCCUAGGCUUGGCUGUUGAUGGAUUAUAUUAUAGUUUUCUGCCUGGCGUAAAUUUAGCCCUGGCAAUGGUUCUUAGAACCAGAAAGAAAACCUCAACGGCCCUUUUUAAUGCUAGGUGUGUCCGUUGAGCUAUAGAAGAUUUUGUAGUCCUUGAGGUUGAGGGUAGGAAGAAUGGCACACCUGCCAAUCUUCCUCGAAAGAGACAAGACUUGCUGGGCACAGCAGAGGAAGAAGGAAAAGAAGAAAGAAGAGUAUGAAAAUGUCUCCAGCUCAAGCCCUGUUAGCCUUCGGCUGUGAUGUGGCCUCCUACGCUGUGAGGCCUGUUCUCUGCACCACCUUAGAAGACAGAAGACACAGUCAUCAGCCUGCAGCGUCAAUGGAAGAAGGAGGAAUGGAAUGCAAUAAGGAUGGUUAUUAGAACCAAAAAACCCACCUCAAUGGCUCUUUUUAAUCCUAUUUUUGGCUGUUGAUGGAUUAUAGAUGAUAUAGUUUUCUGCCUGGCGUAAAUUUAGCCAUGGCAAUGGUUCUUAGAACCAGGAAGAAAACCUCAGUGGCCCUUUUAAAUGACCAGUGUGUGGCCAGUGCUUGGUAAGAGAUUUUAUAGCUUUCUGCCUGGUGUAAAUUUAGCCAUGGCAAAGGUUCUUAGAACCAAAAAACCCACCUCAAUGGCCUUUUUAAUCCUGGGCAUGGCUGUUGAUGGAUUAUAUUAUAGUUUUCUGCCUGGCGUAAAGUUAGCCCUGGCAAUGGUUCUUAGAAACUGAAAGAAAAUCUCAACGGCCCUUUUUAAUGCUAGGUGUGUCCGUUGAGCUACAGAAGAUUUUGUAGUCUUUAAGGUUGAGGGGAGGAAGAAUGGCACACCUGCUGCCAAUCUUCCUUGAAAGCGACAAGACUUGCUGGGCACAGCAGAGGAAGAAGGAAAAGAAGAGAGCAAGAAAAUGUCUCCAGCUCAAGCCCUGUUAGCCUUCAGCUGUGAUGUUGCCUCCUACACUGUGAGGCCUGUUCUCUGCACCACCUUAGAAGACAGAAGACUCAGUCAUCAGCCUGCAGCGUCGAUGGAAGAAGGAGGAAUGGACCUUUAGAUGAUAGAUUUUAUACCAUUCUUGCCUGCUGUAAAUUUAGCCAUGGCAAUGGUUCUUAGAACCAAAAAAACAUUCUCAACGGCCCUUUUUAAUCCUAGGCGUGGCUGUUGAUGGACUAUAGAUUUUAUAGUUUUCUGCCUGGCGUAAAUUUAGCCAUGGCAAUGGUUCUUAGAACCAGGAAGAAAACAUCAUUGGCCCUUUUAAAUGACCAGUGUGUGGCCAGUGCUUCGUAACAGAUUUUAGAGCAUUCUUGCCUGCUGUAAAGUUAGCCAUGGCAAGGGUUCUUAGAACCAAAAAAACAUUCUCAAUGGCCUUUUUAAUCCUAGGCUUGGCUGUUGAUGGAUUAUAUUAUAGUUUUCUGCCUGGCGUAAAUUUAGCCCUGGCAAUGGUUCUUAGAACCAGAAAGAAAACCUCAACGGCCCUUUUUAAUGCUAGGUGUGUCCGUUGAGCUAUAGAAGAUUUUGUAGUCCUUGAGGUUGAGGGUAGGAAGAAUGGCACACCUGCCAAUCUUCCUCGAAAGAGACAAGACUUGCUGGGCACAGCAGAGGAAGAAGGAAAAGAAGAAAGAAGAGUAUGAAAAUGUCUCCAGCUCAAGCCCUGUUAGCCUUCGGCUGUGAUGUGGCCUCCUACGCUGUGAGGCCUGUUCUCUGCACCACCUUAGAAGACAGAAGACACAGUCAUCAGCCUGCAGCGUCAAUGGAAGAAGGAGGAAUGGAAUGCAAUAAGGAUGGUUAUUAGAACCAAAAAACCCACCUCAAUGGCUCUUUUUAAUCCUAUUUUUGGCUGUUGAUGGAUUAUAGAUGAUAUAGUUUUCUGCCUGGCGUAAAUUUAGCCAUGGCAAUGGUUCUUAGAACCAGGAAGAAAACCUCAGUGGCCCUUUUAAAUGACCAGUGUGUGGCCAGUGCUUGGUAAGAGAUUUUAUAGCUUUCUGCCUGGUGUAAAUUUAGCCAUGGCAAAGGUUCUUAGAACCAAAAAACCCACCUCAAUGGCCUUUUUAAUCCUGGGCAUGGCUGUUGAUGGAUUAUAUUAUAGUUUUCUGCCUGGCGUAAAGUUAGCCCUGGCAAUGGUUCUUAGAACCAGAAAGAAAACCUCAACGGCCCUUUUUAAUGCUAGGUGUGUCCGUUGAGCUAUAGAAGAUUUUGUAGUCCUUGAGGUUGAGGGGAGGAAGAAUGGCACACCUGCCAAUCUUCCUCGAAAGAGACAAGACUUGCUGGGCACAGCAGAGGAAGAAGGAAAAGAAGAAAGAAGAGUAUGAAAAUGUCUCCAGCUCAAGCCCUGUUAGCCUUCGGCUGUGAUGUCGCCUUCUAUGUUGUGAGGCCUGUUCUCUGCACCACUUUAGAAGACAGAAGACUCAGUCAUCAGCCUGCAGCAUUGAUGGAAGAAGAAGGAAUGGACCUUUAGAUGAUAGAUUUUAUACCAUCCUUGCCUGCUGUAAAUUUAGCCAUGGCAAUGGUUAUUAGAACCAAAAAAACCAUCCUCAAUGGCCCUUUUUAAUCCUAGGCUUGGCUGUUGAUGGACUAUAGAUUUUAUAGUUUUCUGCCUGACGUAAAUUUAGCCAUGGCAAUGAUUCUUAGAACCAGGAAGAAAACCUCAUUGGCCCUUUUAAAUGACCAGUGUGUGGCCAGUGCUUCGUAACAGAUUUUAUUCUUGCCUGCUUUAAAGUUAGCCAUGGCAAGGGUUCUUAGAACCAAAAAAACAUUCUCAAUGGCCUUUUUAAUCCUAGGUUUGGCUGUUGAUGGAUUAUAUUAUAGUUUUCUGCCUGGCGUAAAUGUAGCCCUGGCGAUGGUUCCUAGAACCAGAAAGAAAACCUCAAUGGCCCUUUUUAAUGCUAGGUGUGUCCGUUGAGCUAUAGAAGAUAUUGUAGUCUUUGAGGUUGAGGGGAGGAACGAUGGCACACCUGCUGCCAAUGUUCCGAGAAAGAGAAAGAAGAAGAAGAAAAAGAAAAGAAGAAAGAAGAGAGCAAGAAAAUGUCUCCAGCUCAAGCCUGUUAGCCUCCGGCUGUGAUGUGGCUGCCUACGCUGUGAGGCCUGUUCUCUGCACCACCUUAGAAGACAGAAGACACAGUCGUCAGCCUGCAGCUUUGAUGGAAGAAGGAGGAACGGAACGCAAGAAUGAAGAUGAUCUCCAUCGAGAAUGCUACUUCACCGUCAAUCACAAAUGACUUUUAGAAGAAUUGCUGAAACUGUAAGAGACUUUUGGUUCUAAGAGAUCUGGCUGCUUCUGACAUUA
Long non-coding RNA from Crotalus tigris (Tiger rattlesnake), 5932 nucleotides. RefSeq lists it as uncharacterized. The record is from RefSeq and is a predicted model, not a curated record. Lineage: Eukaryota; Metazoa; Chordata; Lepidosauria; Squamata; Viperidae. The transcript is spliced from 9 exons.